This 533-nucleotide ribosomal RNA is filed under the name uncultured bacterium. Its description in RNAcentral is "bacterial SSU rRNA". It matches the Rfam family "Bacterial small subunit ribosomal RNA", at positions 272 to 803 of the family's 1533-position model. The record is from RNAcentral.
GGCGACGAUGCGUAGGGGUUCUGAGAGGAAGGUCCCCCACACUGGUACUGAGACACGGACCAGACUCCUACGGGAGGCAGCAGUGAGGAAUAUUGGUCAAUGGGAGAGAUCCUGAACCAGCCAAGCCGCGUGAGGGAAGACGGCCCUAUGGGUUGUAAACCUCUUUUGUCGGAGAACAAAACCCGGGACGAGUCCCGGACUGCGUGUAUCCGAAGAAAAAGCAUCGGCUAACUCCGUGCCAGCAGCCGCGGUAAUACGGAGGAUGCGAGCGUUAUCCGGAUUUAUUGGGUUUAAAGGGUGCGUAGGCGGUCCGUUAAGUCAGCGGUAAAAUUGCGGGGCUCAACCCCGUCGAGCCGUUGAAACUGGCAGACUUGAGUUGGCGAGAAGUACGCGGAAUGCGCGGUGUAGCGGUGAAAUGCAUAGAUAUCGCGCAGAACUCCGAUUGCGAAGGCAGCGUACCGGCGCCACACUGACGCUGAGGCACGAAAGCGUGGGGAUCGAACAGGAUUAGAUACCCUGGUAGUCCACGCAGU